RNAcentral lists this ribosomal RNA (468 nucleotides) under uncultured bacterium. Its description in RNAcentral is "partial 16S ribosomal RNA". It matches the Rfam family "Bacterial small subunit ribosomal RNA", at positions 28 to 507 of the family's 1533-position model. The record is from RNAcentral.
GACGAACGCUGGCGGCGUGCUUAACACAUGCAAGUCGAACGGAAAGGCCCUGCUUUUGUGGGGUGCUCGAGUGGCGAACGGGUGAGUAACACGUGAGUAACCUGCCCUUGACUUUGGGAUAACUUCAGGAAACUGGGGCUAAUAACGGAUAGGAGCUCCUGCUGCAUGGUGGGGGUUGGAAAGUUUCGGCGGUUGGGGAUGGGCUCGCGGCUGAUCAGCUUGUUGGUGGGGUAGUGGCUUACCAAGGCUUUGACGGGUAGCCGGCCUGAGAGGGUGACCGGCCACAUUGGGACUGAGAUACUGCACAGACUCCUACGGGAGGCAGCAGUGGGGAAUAUUGCACAAUGGGCGGAAGCCUGAUGCAGCAACGCCGCGUGCGGGAUGACGGCCUUCGGGUUGUAAACCGCUUUCGCCUGUGACGAAGCGUGAGUGACGGUAAUGUGUAAAGAAGCACCGGCUAACUACGUG